Molecule: ribosomal RNA, 90 nt
Filed under: Paramormyrops kingsleyae
Lineage: Eukaryota; Metazoa; Chordata; Actinopteri; Osteoglossiformes; Mormyridae
Source: RNAcentral
UGACUAGGUAAUCCAUCUGAAGCUGAGCAGGUUUGGGCCUGGCCACUACUUGGGUGGGAGACCAACUAGGAAAUCUGGUUUCCUAGUCAU